ACGGAAGGCAGCAGUGAGGAAUAUUGGUCAAUGGACGGAAGUCUGAACCAGCCAAGUAGCGUGCAGGAUGACGGCCCUAUGGGUUGUAAACUGCUUUUGUCAGGGGCUAUAGGCAUCCACGUGUGGGUGUAGGAAUGUACCUGAAGAAUAAGCAUCGGCUAACUCCGUGCCAGCAGCCGCGGUAAUACGGAGGAUGCAAGCGUUAUCCGGAUUUAUUGGGUUUAAAGGGUGCGCAGGCGGACCGGUAAGUCAGUGGUGAAAUCCACAUGCCCAACAUGUGAAGUGCCAUUGAUACUGUCGGACUAGUAUGCAAGGGGCGCGGCCGGAAUGUGGUGUGUAGCGGUGAAAUGCUUAGAUAUGCCACAGAACGCCGAUCGUGAAGACAGGUCGCGAACUUGCCAUAGACGCUCAAGCACGAAAGCGUGGGGAUCAAACAGGAUUAGAUACCCUGGUA
This 454-nucleotide ribosomal RNA is filed under the name uncultured bacterium. Its description in RNAcentral is "partial 16S ribosomal RNA". It matches the Rfam family "Bacterial small subunit ribosomal RNA", at positions 341 to 792 of the family's 1533-position model. The record is from RNAcentral.